GCCAGGCAUGGUGGUGCAUGCCUGUAAUCCCAGCUACUUGGGAGGCUGAGGCAGGAGAAUCGCUUGAACCCAGGAGGCGGAAGUUGCAGUGAGCCGAGAUCGUGCCACUGUACCUCCAGCCUGGGUGACAGAGCAAGACUCUGUCUCGA
Unclassified non-coding RNA from Macaca fascicularis (crab-eating macaque), 149 nucleotides. It matches the Rfam family "Metazoan signal recognition particle RNA". From Rfam's summary of the family: The signal recognition particle (SRP) is a universally conserved ribonucleoprotein. It is involved in the co-translational targeting of proteins to membranes. The eukaryotic SRP consists of a 300-nucleotide 7S RNA and six proteins: SRPs 72, 68, 54, 19, 14, and 9. The record is from Ensembl. Lineage: Eukaryota; Metazoa; Chordata; Mammalia; Primates; Cercopithecidae.